UGGGGAAUAUUGGACAAUGGGGGCAACCCUGAUCCAGCGACGCCGCGUGUGUGAAGAAGGCCUGCGGGUUGUAAAGCACUUUUAGUGGGGAUGAAAAGUACAGGGCUAACACCUCUGUAUCUUGACCUAACCCACAGAAAAAGCACCGGCUAACUCUGUGCCAGCAGCCGCGGUAAUACAGAGGGUGCAAGCGUUAAUCGGAAUUACUGGGCGUAAAGCGUGCGUAGACGGUAGCGUAAGUCGGGUGUGAAAGCCCCGGGCUCAACCUGGGAAUUGCAUUCGAGACUGUGUAGCUAGGGUACGGAAGAGGGAAGCGGAAUUUCAGGUGUAGCGGUGAAAUGCGUAGAUAUCUGAAGGAACACCAGUGGCGAAAGCGGCUUCCUGGUCCAGUACCGACGUUCAGGCACGAAAGCGUGGGGAGCAAACA
Molecule: ribosomal RNA, 427 nt
Filed under: uncultured Acidibacter sp.
Lineage: Bacteria; Pseudomonadati; Pseudomonadota; Gammaproteobacteria
Description: bacterial SSU rRNA
Rfam family: Bacterial small subunit ribosomal RNA
Source: RNAcentral